RNAcentral lists this ribosomal RNA (346 nucleotides) under uncultured bacterium. Its description in RNAcentral is "partial 16S ribosomal RNA". It matches the Rfam family "Bacterial small subunit ribosomal RNA", at positions 338 to 681 of the family's 1533-position model. The record is from RNAcentral.
CCUACGGGGGGCAGCAGUGAGGAAUAUUGGUCAAUGGGCGCGAGCCUGAACCAGCCAAGUAGCGUGAAGGAUGACUGCCCUACGGGUUGUAAACUUCUUUUAUAAAGGAAUAAAGUGAGGCACGUGUGCCUUUUUGGAUGUACUUUAUGAAUAAGGAUCGGCUAACGCCGUGCCAGCAGCCGCGGUAAUACGGAGGAUCCGAGCGUUAUCCGGAUUUAUUGGGUUUAAAGGGAGCGUAGAUGGGUUGUUAAGUCCGUUGUGAACGUUUGCGGCUCAACCGUAAAAUUGCACUUGAUACUGGCAGUCUUUCGUACAGUUGCGGUAGGCGGAAUUCGUGUUGUAGCGG